GACGAACGCUGGCGGCGUGCUUAACACAUGCAAGUCGAACGGAAAGGCACCUUUGGGGGUACUCGAGUGGCGAACGGGUGAGUAACACGUGAGUAACCUGCCCUUGACUUCGGGAUAACUUCCGGCUACUAGGGCUAAUACCGGAUAGAAAUCUUUGCUGCAUGGUGUGGGUUGGUAAUAUUCGGCGGUAUUGGUUAGAAUGGCGGCUCAUUAGCUUGUGGGUGGGGUAGUGGUUUACCAAGGCUUUGGCUGGUAGCCGGCCUGGGAGGGCGACCGUCCACAUUGGGACUGGGAUACGGCCCAGACUCCAACGGGAAGCAGCAGUGGGGAUGAUUGCACAAGGGGCGGAAGCCGGAUGCAGCAACGCCGCGGGCGGGAUGACGGCCUUCGGGUUGUAAACCGCUAUCAGCAGGGGCGAAGCUUGUAGUGACGGUACCUGCAGAAGAAGCACCGGCUAACUACGUG
This 465-nucleotide ribosomal RNA is filed under the name uncultured bacterium. Its description in RNAcentral is "partial 16S ribosomal RNA". It matches the Rfam family "Bacterial small subunit ribosomal RNA", at positions 28 to 507 of the family's 1533-position model. The record is from RNAcentral.